AUGCUCGAAUCUUGUAUUCCUUGCUGAGAAACGUUUGGAAUUCCGUAAAAAUACCAUCUGAGCUUAAAGAAGGAGUUAUUACUCUUAUCCCGAAGAAGGGUAACCCUUCUGAGUGCAAAAACUGGGGAGGUAUGCUUAGCAUGAGGUUACGAGGAGAACAAGUUGGCUCCCGCCCUCGUUGUUCAUGCGUUGAUUACCUUGAGAGUGAUUGUUGAGGAGUCGAUGAAGUGGCGCAAGUCAGCGUCGAAUUUCAAGUCGGUGUACCGAAAGGCUAUGUUUUAUCACCGCUCUUAUUUAAUCUAGAUUCGAGAUUACUCGAACUUGUAAUGCGACAAGCUUGCGCGGCAAACAGAGGUCCUGGGGUUUGAAUGGCCGCUUAGAAGACCUGGACUAUGCUGACGACAUCCGUCUUCUGUCACAUAAACGAUCACAUAUAUCAGAAAAACUCUAAGCGGUAAACGACGCUGCAGUACAAACCGGGUUAAUAUUGCAAAAACAUUGUUAAUCAGUAUCAAUACCACCAAAACGCAAGCUCUUCACAUCUCUAACACACCGUUGGAAGAAGUGAAUGAAUUCUCCUGUCUCGGUUGGAUUAUCUCAAAAAUCGGCGGGUCAGCAGUUGACAUCGUCGCUUAGCUAAGGAACGCGCUGCGCUAGACAAGUUUUAUAUGAUGUGAAACAUGCAAUUUAUCAUCAUACGCCCUACAGACAUUGCAAUCCUUCUUUAAGCGCUGUCUUCGCAAGAAUAUGCGCAUAUUCUAACCCAAUAUCAUAAGAAACGAUGAUCUAUGGUCUUGAACUAAACAAACAACUUUUCACAUUGAAAUCCGUCGCUGUCAAUGGAGAUGGAAUUAGUGUGGAAUUGGUAAGGGAGUAGCAGACAAGGAAGGCCAAUGGAGGUGGCAAAUUGAAGCAGAAGCGAAAAGAGUGGACGCUCAAAGCCGAGUCGAGCGCAACGCUGAUGAAUGCGAGAAAAAAGUUUCGAAGCUAUUCGCAUACAUUUUCAUACGAAAUUGCACAGACAGCACAGAGUGGAAGCUGACCGAUGUCGUGCGUAAAGCAGAUCAGCGUGAGAAAAACAGCUUUGAAGUGUUUUUCGGCGCCGAAAUGCGCUAAAACGUAUUUAUUCACUAGAUUGAAGUGAUUAUAUGCUAUUUAUGUACAGUAAUAUAAUUAUAUUUUUA
Molecule: long non-coding RNA, 1184 nt
Organism: Zeugodacus cucurbitae (melon fly)
Lineage: Eukaryota; Metazoa; Arthropoda; Insecta; Diptera; Tephritidae
Exons: 3
Source: RefSeq, a predicted model, not a curated record